GGAAAUGGGACAGCAAUCUGGCUGUGACAUCUGUCGCUCCAUUGAUCACCAGGGUUGGUUUGUCUCAUCUGAUUGGCUAGGCAGGUGCCCCGUUCCUCUCUCUCUGCUCCAUGUGUGUCCCUCCCAAAGCUGCACACUUCAUCAAAGAGGAUGAUUCUCCACAAAUAGAGGAGGACCAGUCUUUGGUCAAGGGUGUAUGAGUAACUACCCAUCAGUUUAGCUGGUUUCCAAGAUUGCAUGUAACAUGUUGUUGGGCUUCACAACAUCUAUAGUCAUAUGAAAUAAAUAAAUGCCUUUCUUCCUAU
This is an unclassified non-coding RNA of Mesocricetus auratus (golden hamster), 305 nucleotides long. Its record names the gene 7SK. It matches the Rfam family "7SK RNA". Rfam says of the family: 7SK was discovered as an abundant small nuclear RNA in the mid-70s but a possible function has only recently been suggested. Two independent studies have found that 7SK RNA binds the CDK9/cyclin T complex (known as elongation factor P-TEFb). P-TEFb activates transcription by phosphorylating the C-terminal domain of RNA polymerase II. The record is from Ensembl. Lineage: Eukaryota; Metazoa; Chordata; Mammalia; Rodentia; Cricetidae.